RNAcentral lists this ribosomal RNA (534 nucleotides) under uncultured Bacteroidota bacterium. Its description in RNAcentral is "bacterial SSU rRNA". It matches the Rfam family "Bacterial small subunit ribosomal RNA", at positions 1 to 535 of the family's 1533-position model. The record is from RNAcentral. Lineage: Bacteria; Pseudomonadati; Bacteroidota.
AGAAGUUUGAUCCUGGCUCAGGAUUAACGCUAGCGGCAGGCUUAAUACAUGCAAGUCGAGGGGCAGCAGUAUUACUUCGGUAAUGCUGGCGACCGGCGCACGGGUGCGUAACGCGUAUGCAACCUACCCAAUACUGAAGGAUAGCCUGAGGAAACUCGGAUUAAUACUUCAUAGUACCAUAGAUAGACAUCUUGAAAUGGUUAAAGAUUUAUCGGUAUUGGAUGGGCAUGCGUACCAUUAGCUUGUUGGUGAGGUAACGGCUCACCAAGGCUACGAUGGUUAGUGGGUCUGAGAGGAUGAUCCGCCACACUGGCACUGAGAUACGGGCCAGACUCCUACGGGAGGCAGCAGUAAGGAAUAUUGGUCAAUGGGCGAAAGCCUGAACCAGCCAUGCCGCGUGCAGGAUGACAGCCUUCUGGGUUGUAAACUGCUUUUAUCAGGGAACAAAUAGGCCAUGAGUGGCAAGCUGAGUGUACCUGAAGAAUAAGCACCGGCUAACUCCGUGCCAGCAGCCGCGGUAAUAAGGGCGAAUUC